AUACGGAGGGUGCAAGCGUUACUCGGAAUCACUGGGCGUAAGCGCGCGCAGGCGGCUAUUUAAGUUGGAUGUGAAAGCCUACGGCUCAACCGUAGAACUGCAUCCAAAACUAUUUAGCUAGAGUGUGGGAGAGGAAGAUGGAAUUAGUUGUGUAGGGGUAAAAUCCGUAGAGAUAACUAGGAAUACCAAAAGCGAAGGCAAUCUUCUGGAACACUACUGACGCUGAGGCGCGAAAGCGUGGGGAGCAAACAGGAUUAGAAACCCUAGUAGUCC
This 273-nucleotide ribosomal RNA is filed under the name uncultured bacterium. Its description in RNAcentral is "partial 16S ribosomal RNA". It matches the Rfam family "Bacterial small subunit ribosomal RNA", at positions 523 to 796 of the family's 1533-position model. The record is from RNAcentral.